UACGUAGGGUGCAAGCGUUAAUCGGAAUUACUGGGCGUAAAGCGUGCGCAGGCGGCUUUGCAAGACAGAUGUGAAAUCCCUCGGCUUAACCGGGGAACUGCAUCUGAUACUGGAUGGCUUGAGUUCGGGAGAGGGAUGCGGAAUUCCAGGUGUAGCGGUGAAAUGCGUAGAUAUCUGGAGGAACACCGGUGGCGAAGGCGGCAUCCUGGACCGACACUGACGCUGAGGAGCGAAAGCCAGGGGAGCAAACGGG
This 253-nucleotide ribosomal RNA is filed under the name uncultured bacterium. RNAcentral's name for it is "partial 16S ribosomal RNA". It matches the Rfam family "Bacterial small subunit ribosomal RNA", at positions 524 to 776 of the family's 1533-position model. The record is from RNAcentral.